This is a long non-coding RNA of Drosophila ananassae, 1032 nucleotides long. RefSeq lists it as uncharacterized. The transcript is spliced from 4 exons. The record is from RefSeq and is a predicted model, not a curated record. NCBI's taxonomy places the organism in Eukaryota, Metazoa, Arthropoda, Insecta, Diptera, Drosophilidae.
GUCAAUUUUCAUAUGCAAAUCGAGUGGCGAAACAAUUGACAAACUUUGUCUAAGGCAACAACAAUAAAAAAUGGAGCAAAAUGAUGAGACAAAAAAAUAUAUAAUAGGAAAGAAAAUGCAGAGGAAAAGCGGAAAAGCGGCGGGAGUGGCAGAAUCAACAAGAAUAUAAAUAUGCAAAUGAAAAGGCAACACAGAUGUUCAAUCAACAGUUGACUGCCACUCUCCGAGGACUGUUUCGAUGCAGAUGAAAAGUACACAAGCCGACAUUCAAAUAUGGCCACUGUCAGAAAGCAUUUCCAAAGCAGGGAUUUAUCAUAGAAUGGUAGUAUAGUCCUCAAAAAAUAUUCUUUUUUGAAAAACAGACUUUUUUCGACUAUAAUUCGCAACUGGUUGUGGCCGACAGUAUGAAGUGACAGUAAGGAGUAGCCUAUUUUUCAAUAGCCCAAUGUUUUGUAAGUAUGGUAACUCCCUCCACCAGCUCUCGUUCCAUCUCACACCCACGCCUCUUGCUAUUAAGCUCAGAGCAGAGCCCCCCUCGAAAUAAAGGCCCCAGGCUGCCCCAGGAAGAAAGUAUAGAGAAUAAAUAAUAAAGGGAGACAGCCUGCUGGGCAAUCAGUUCUUGCUGUUGACAGUUCAAUUUUCCAAAAAAAAAACAAAACAACAAAUUUUUUGUUUUCGGAAAAAAACUUUAUUUGUGGGAGAGUUACAAAAAUCCAAAUAUUUUAUAACAAAAACUAUGCGAAGAAAUAGGAAUUACGAGGAAGGCAGUACUUUUCUUUUGGAGUCUUUGGAGAAAUUGUAACAAAGAAAGUCACAAACAGACGUUGAGGAAUAAAUGGAAAGGGGCUCUAUAUACUCUAAACACUCUUUUUAAUCAAAAACCAAGAAAUAAAAGCCAAGAAAUCAAGGCCUAAAGGGAGCCCAGAGGCAUAGAGAUGGUAAGAAUAUAAGGUUUUGGAGUUAGAGGCUCUAGAUUUUGAAAUUAUUUGACAAAUUUUGAAGUAAAAUUAAGCAAUAAAAUUGUAUAUACAA